UGAACUGCUCCACCAGCCUCUUGACAAGGUGGAUAGCUUCUGUAGUGGAGCGACCCGACAUGAAACCGAACUAGUUCACAGAUAUAAAUGUCAUCUCCCUCACCCUCGCCUCGAUCACCCGUGGUAUGACUUAUUAAUUUGAUACCCCUAUAGUUGUUGCAGCACUGGAUGCCACCUUUGUUCUUGUACAAGGGCACCACUGUACUCCACCUCCACUCCUCCGACAACUUUUU
This 233-nucleotide long non-coding RNA is filed under the name Nicotiana benthamiana. Its description in RNAcentral is "long non-coding RNA (NBEN_LNC030009)". Lineage: Eukaryota; Viridiplantae; Streptophyta; Magnoliopsida; Solanales; Solanaceae. The record is from RNAcentral.